RNAcentral lists this ribosomal RNA (442 nucleotides) under uncultured bacterium. RNAcentral describes it as "SSU rRNA". It matches the Rfam family "Bacterial small subunit ribosomal RNA", at positions 26 to 518 of the family's 1533-position model. The record is from RNAcentral.
AGAGCGAACGCUGGCGGCAGGCCUAACACAUGCAAGUCGAGCGCCCCGCAAGGGGAGCGGCAGACGGGAGAGUAACACGUGGGAACGUACCCUUCAGUUCGGAACAACCCAGGGAAACUUGGGCUAAUACCGAAUACGUCCGUAAGGAGAAAGAUUUAUCGCUGAAGGAUCGGCCCGCGUCUGAUUAGCUAGUUGGUGAGGUAACGGCUCACCAAGGCUACGAUCAGUAGCUGGUCUGAGAGGAUGAUCAGCCUCACUGGGACUGAGACACGGCCCAGACUCCUACGGGAGGCAGCAGUGGGGAAUAUUGGACAAUGGGCGCAAGCCUGAUCCAGCCAUGCCGCGUGGAUGAUGAAGGCCUUAGGGUUGUAAAGUCCUUUCGACGGGAAGAUAAUGACGGUACCCGUAGAAGAAGCCCGGCUAACUUCGUGCCAGCAGCCGC